This 75-nucleotide transfer RNA is filed under the name Candidatus Staskawiczbacteria bacterium RIFCSPHIGHO2_01_FULL_37_17. Its description in RNAcentral is "tRNA-Thr". It matches the Rfam family "tRNA". From Rfam's summary of the family: Transfer RNA (tRNA) molecules are approximately 80 nucleotides in length. Their secondary structure includes four short double-helical elements and three loops (D, anti-codon, and T loops). Lineage: Bacteria; Candidatus Staskawicziibacteriota. RNAcentral also lists the same sequence under 13 other names. The record is from RNAcentral.
GCCGAUGUAGCUCAACAGCAGAGCAAUACUUUUGUAAAGUAUAGGUUGUCGGUGCAAAUCCGACCAUCGGCUCAA